GACGAACGCGGGCGGCGUGCCUAAUACAUGCAAGUAGAACGCUGAAGGAGGAGCUUGCUCUUCUGGAUGAGUUGCGAACGGGUGAGUAAUGCGUAGGUAACCUGCCUGGUAGCGGGGGAUAACUAUUGGAAACGAUAGCUAAUACCGCAUAACAGUAGAUGUUGCAUGACAUUUACUUAAAAGGUGCAAUUGCAUCACUACCAGAUGGACCUGCGUUGUAUUAGCUAGUUGGUGGGGUAACGGCUCACCAAGGCGACGAUACAUAGCCGACCUGAGAGGGUGAUCGGCCACACUGGGACUGAGACACGGCCCAGACUCCUACGGGAGGCAGCAGUAGGGAAUCUUCGGCAAUGGACGGAAGUCUGACCGAGCAACGCCGCGUGAGUGAAGAAGGUUUUCGGAUCGUAAAGCUCUGUUGUAAGAGAAGAACGAGUGUGAGAGUGGAAAGUUCACACUGUGACGGUAUCUUACCAGAAAGGGACGGCUAACUACGUG
This 495-nucleotide ribosomal RNA is filed under the name uncultured bacterium. RNAcentral describes it as "partial 16S ribosomal RNA". It matches the Rfam family "Bacterial small subunit ribosomal RNA", at positions 28 to 507 of the family's 1533-position model. The record is from RNAcentral.